This 397-nucleotide ribosomal RNA is filed under the name Acanthamoeba genotype T4. RNAcentral describes it as "SSU rRNA". It matches the Rfam family "Eukaryotic small subunit ribosomal RNA", at positions 795 to 1095 of the family's 1831-position model. Lineage: Eukaryota; Discosea; Longamoebia; Acanthamoebidae. The record is from RNAcentral.
AUUUUCUGCCACCGAAUACAUUAGCAUGGGAUAAUGGAAUAGGACCCUGUCCUCCUAUUUUCAGUUGGUUUUGGCAGCGCGAGGACUAGGGUAAUGAUUAAUAGGGAUAGUUGGGGGCAUUAAUAUUUAAUUGUCAGAGGUGAAAUUCUUGGAUUUAUGAAAGAUUAACUUCUGCGAAAGCAUCUGCCAAGGAUGUUUUCAUUAAUCAAGAACGAAAGUUAGGGGAUCGAAGACGAUCAGAUACCGUCSUAGUCUUAACCAUAAACGAUGCCSACCAGCGAUUAGGAGACGUUGAAUACAAAACACCACCAUCGGCGCGGUCGUCCUUGGCGUUCGUGUUCACGCACGAGCGCGAGGGCGGUUUAGCCCGGUGGCACCGGUGAAUGACUCCCCUAGC